UUACCAAAAAGAGGUAAAGGUAUUAUCCCAUGCUAAACUACACACACUUGGAGUCGGGAAAGUCCGGUGAAAUUCCGGGACUGUGCCGCAGCUGUAAUCAACUAAAAAGUUAUAACUUUUGACUUUGUAAGUCAGAAUGCCAACUCUAAGGGUGUCUUCCGG
This 162-nucleotide non-coding RNA is filed under the name Tolypothrix campylonemoides. The record is from RNAcentral. Lineage: Bacteria; Bacillati; Cyanobacteriota; Cyanophyceae; Nostocales; Tolypothrichaceae.